GACGAACGCUGGCGGCGUGCUUAACACAUGCAAGUCGAACGAAGAGCGAUGGAAGCUUGCUUCUAUCAAUCUUAGUGGCGAACGGGUGAGUAACGCGUAAUCAACCUGCCCUUCAGAGGGGGGCAACAGUUGGAAACGACUGCUAAUACCGCAUACGAUCUAAUCUCGGCAUCGAGGAUAGAUGAAAGGUGGCCUCUACAUGUAAGCUAUCACUGAAGGAGGGGAUUGCGUCUGAUUAGCUAGUUGGAGGGGUAACGGCCCACCAAGGCGAUGAUCAGUGGCCGGUCUGAGAGGAUGAACGGCCACAUUGGGACUGAGACACGGCCCAGACUCCUACGGGAGGCAGCAGUGGGGAAUCUUCCGCAAUGGACGAAAGUCUGACGGAGCAACGCCGCGUGAGUGAUGACGGCCUUCGGGUUGUAAAGCUCUGUUAAUCGGGACGAAAGGCCUUCUUGCGAAUAGUGAGAAGGAUUGACGGUACCGGAAUAGAAAGCCACGGCUAACUACGUG
RNAcentral lists this ribosomal RNA (510 nucleotides) under uncultured bacterium. Its description in RNAcentral is "partial 16S ribosomal RNA". It matches the Rfam family "Bacterial small subunit ribosomal RNA", at positions 28 to 507 of the family's 1533-position model. The record is from RNAcentral.